This 726-nucleotide ribosomal RNA is filed under the name bacterium Cc28. Its description in RNAcentral is "bacterial SSU rRNA". It matches the Rfam family "Bacterial small subunit ribosomal RNA", at positions 63 to 770 of the family's 1533-position model. The record is from RNAcentral.
CGAGCGGACCGACGGGAGCUUGCUCCCUUAGGUCAGCGGCGGACGGGUGAGUAACACGUGGGUAACCUGCCUGUAAGACUGGGAUAACUCCGGGAAACCGGGGCUAAUACCGGAUGCUUGAUUGAACCGCAUGGUUCAAUCAUAAAAGGUGGCUUUUAGCUACCACUUACAGAUGGACCCGCGGCGCAUUAGCUAGUUGGUGAGGUAACGGCUCACCAAGGCGACGAUGCGUAGCCGACCUGAGAGGGUGAUCGGCCACACUGGGACUGAGACACGGCCCAGACUCCUACGGGAGGCAGCAGUAGGGAAUCUUCCGCAAUGGACGAAAGUCUGACGGAGCAACGCCGCGUGAGUGAUGAAGGUUUUCGGAUCGUAAAACUCUGUUGUUAGGGAAGAACAAGUACCGUUCGAAUAGGGCGGCACCUUGACGGUACCUAACCAGAAAGCCACGGCUAACUACGUGCCAGCAGCCGCGGUAAUACGUAGGUGGCAAGCGUUGUCCGGAAUUAUUGGGCGUAAAGCGCGCGCAGGCGGUUUCUUAAGUCUGAUGUGAAAGCCCCCGGCUCAACCGGGGAGGGUCAUUGGAAACUGGGGAACUUGAGUGCAGAAGAGGAGAGUGGAAUUCCACGUGUAGCGGUGAAAUGCGUAGAGAUGUGGAGGAACACCAGUGGCGAAGGCGACUCUCUGGUCUGUAACUGACGCUGAGGCGCGAAAGCGUGGGGAGCG